RNAcentral lists this unclassified non-coding RNA (548 nucleotides) under Hevea brasiliensis (rubber tree). Lineage: Eukaryota; Viridiplantae; Streptophyta; Magnoliopsida; Malpighiales; Euphorbiaceae. The record is from RNAcentral.
CAGUGAAGUUCUAUGGGACUGUUGAAGAGGAAGUUUUAAAUGGAAAGAAAUGUAAAAUUUGGAUACCUGGAGAAUCAGUUGAAGCAGUGGCUUAUGAUAAUCCAAUACCUGGUUAUGGCACACGAAAUGCCUUCAACCUUCGACUGUGGGCUGCUAAACCAAGUGAUCAAUAUGACAUGGAGUCUUAUACCACUGGUGACUAUAUUAAUGCUAUUGUUAACAGACAAAAGGCUGAAACUAUAAGUAACGUGUUGUACCCUGAUGACCGUUCUUACCAGGGUAAGGAACUGCGGUUGAAGCAACAAUUUUUCUUUGUUUCAGCAUCACUACAAGACAUUAUAAGGAGGUUUAAGGAUUUACAUAGAAACUUUGAUGAGUUUCCAGAGAAGGUUGCUCUACAGAUAAAUGAUACACAUCCAUCAAUAUCCAUUGCUGAGGUAAUGAGAGUGCUUGUUGAUGAAGAGCACUUGGACUGGAGUAAAGCAUGGGAUAUUGCUUGCAGGAUUUUCUCAGUCACCAUUCAUGCAGUACAACCUGAAGGACUUGAG